UCGAGUGAGGCAUAUGCGGUUGCUGAGGUAGGAAUGGUGGUUGUUGAGGUGGAGAUGACUACUUCUGAGGUGCCUGUGGCUAGUUAGACACGUCACCCUGCUGAGGACCAGACUCCUCUUUGCAGUUCUGACUGAUGUAAUGCAAGGUGAUCGGGAGUUUGAUCUUCUGAGUUCUGUUAACCUGAACCCGUUUCUUAGAAUAGAGUUUGGUGAUCAAGGAUGGGAAUCCCAAAGAUCUAUUCUUUCUAGUUCUGACUACGGUCU
This 264-nucleotide long non-coding RNA is filed under the name Lupinus angustifolius (narrow-leaved blue lupine). RNAcentral describes it as "long non-coding RNA (LANG_LNC000786)". Lineage: Eukaryota; Viridiplantae; Streptophyta; Magnoliopsida; Fabales; Fabaceae. The record is from RNAcentral.